RNAcentral lists this ribosomal RNA (548 nucleotides) under uncultured Bacteroidota bacterium. RNAcentral describes it as "bacterial SSU rRNA". It matches the Rfam family "Bacterial small subunit ribosomal RNA", at positions 35 to 572 of the family's 1533-position model. The record is from RNAcentral. Lineage: Bacteria; Pseudomonadati; Bacteroidota.
GCUAGCGGCAGGCCUAAUACAUGCAAGUCGAGGGGCAGCAGGUUCGAGUUUACUUGAACGCUGGCGACCGGCGCACGGGUGCGUAACGCGUAUGCAACCUACCCACUACAGGGGGAUAGCCAUUGGAAACAGUGAUUAAUACCCCAUAAUGCAUUGAUCUCACCUGGGAUUAUUAGCUAAAGAUUUAUCGGUAGUGGAUGGGCAUGCGUAAGAUUAGCUAGUUGGUAGUGUAAUAGACUACCAAGGCGACGAUCUUUAGCGGGUCUGAGAGGAUGAUCCGCCACACUGGUACUGAGACACGGACCAGACUCCUACGGGAGGCAGCAGUAGGGAAUAUUGGUCAAUGGGGGCAACCCUGAACCAGCCAUGCCGCGUGCAGGAAGACAGCCUUCUGGGUUGNAAACUGCUUUUAUCAGGGGGGAAUUACCGGGAUGCGUCCCGGGGUUGACAGUACCUGAUGAAUAAGCACCGGCUAACUCCGUGCCAGCAGCCGCGGUAAUACGGAGGGUGCGAGCGUUGUCCGGAUUUAUUGGGUUUAAAGGGUGCGU